CGUUGGAAUACCAGUUCCCGCACGAUGACCGAAGUUAAACAACGUCCGGCCUGGUCAGUACCUAGAUGGGUGACCGUUUACGAAUACCGGGUGCUGUAA
Non-coding RNA from Acanthosepion pharaonis, 99 nucleotides. The record is from the annotation of a GenBank genome assembly. NCBI's taxonomy places the organism in Eukaryota, Metazoa, Mollusca, Cephalopoda, Sepiida, Sepiidae.